This is a long non-coding RNA of Athalia rosae (coleseed sawfly), 374 nucleotides long. RefSeq lists it as uncharacterized. The transcript is spliced from 3 exons. NCBI's taxonomy places the organism in Eukaryota, Metazoa, Arthropoda, Insecta, Hymenoptera, Athaliidae. The record is from RefSeq and is a predicted model, not a curated record.
CUAAUGUGUUGUACGACGGACAGCAAAUACCUGAGGAGGCAUCCCGUGGUACGACGAGUAUAUAGACCGUGGAGGGCUCCGCGGUAAACGAGCUAGAAAGACACGAGGAAUCCCGAAGAGCAUCUCCCACCCUAGGUUGGCCUUUAACUAAAACUUCUUUCGUUCGGGGUGGAGGCCUGUAUGUUGGAGAGUUGUCAUUAUUUGGAACUUCUGUAAAAACACACACAUCUAAGGCUGCUUCGUCAGGUGUUGCUCUGGGUAUAACGCCUGGAUCACUGAAGCUUGUUCGGAACAGCGUUGACAUCACAAAUAUAAACAGUAAUCCACCAAUUACUGGUAUUGCAGGAGUAAUAUGGACUGCCAAGAAAGGGCAA